CCUACGGGUGGCAGCAGUGGGGAAUAUUGCUCAAUGGGCGAAACCCUGAAGCAGCAACGCCGCGUGGAGGAUGAAGGUUUUCGGAUUGUAAACUCCUUUUGUUAGAGAAGAUAAUGACGGUAUCUAACGAAUAAGCACCGGCUAACUCCGUGCCAGCAGCCGCUGUAAUUCGGAGGGUGCACGCGUUACUCGGAAUCACUGGGCGUAAAGAGCGCGUAGGCGGGAUAGCAAGUCAGAUGUGAAAUCCUAGGGCUUAACCAUAGAACUGCAGUUGAAACUGAUAUUCUAGAGUAGGGGAGAGGUAGGCGGAAUUCGUGGUGUAGGGGUAAAAUCCGUAGAGAUCAAGAGGAAUACUGAUUGCGAAGGCGACAUGCUAGAACAUAACUGACGCUGAUGCGCGAAAGCGUGGGGAGCAAACAGGAUUAGAUACCCGAGUAGUC
This 440-nucleotide ribosomal RNA is filed under the name uncultured bacterium. Its description in RNAcentral is "partial 16S ribosomal RNA". It matches the Rfam family "Bacterial small subunit ribosomal RNA", at positions 338 to 795 of the family's 1533-position model. The record is from RNAcentral.